AAUGAAACCAGAUAUGACUUAGUGGCGGACGGGUGAGUAACACGUGAGCAACCUGCCUUUCAGAGGGGGAUAACGGCUGGAAACGGUCGCUAAUACCGCAUGAUGUGUUCGGAUGGCAUCAUCUGAACAUCAAAGAUUUAUCGCUGAAAGAUGGGCUCGCGUCUGAUUAGAUAGUUGGUGGGGUAACGGCCCACCAAGGCGACGAUCAGUAGCCGGACUGAGAGGUUGAACGGCCACAUUGGAACUGAGACACGGUCCAAACUCC
This 265-nucleotide ribosomal RNA is filed under the name uncultured Eubacteriales bacterium. RNAcentral's name for it is "uncultured Clostridiales bacterium partial 16S ribosomal RNA". It matches the Rfam family "Bacterial small subunit ribosomal RNA", at positions 65 to 339 of the family's 1533-position model. The record is from RNAcentral. Lineage: Bacteria; Bacillati; Bacillota; Clostridia; Eubacteriales.